This 84-nucleotide microRNA precursor is filed under the name Bombyx mori (domestic silkworm). RNAcentral's name for it is "mir-2807 microRNA precursor family". It matches the Rfam family "mir-2807 microRNA precursor family". The record is from Rfam by way of RNAcentral. Lineage: Eukaryota; Metazoa; Arthropoda; Insecta; Lepidoptera; Bombycidae.
UUAACUCAUAUUUAUAUGGAGUUUGAACGUUUGCCUACGUCUGCCGUUAGGGGCGCUGUUGCAACUGCUUACAAAUUUGAUUUA